GACGAACGCUGGCGGCGUGCCUAAUACAUGCAAGUCGAGCGGWGAUUUAAAAGCUUGCUUUUAAAUCUUAGCGGCGGACGGGUGAGUAACACGUGGGCAACCUGCCCUGUAGACUGGGAUAACUUCGGGAAACCGAAGCUAAUACCGGAUAAUCUUUAGCGUCACAUGGCGCAAAAGUAAAAGUUGGGUUUACCUAACACUACAGGAUGGGCCCGCGGCGCAUUAGCUAGUUGGUAAGGUAAUGGCUUACCAAGGCGACGAUGCGUAGCCGACCUGAGAGGGUGAUCGGCCACACUGGGACUGAGACACGGCCCAGACUCCUACGGGAGGCAGCAGUAGGGAAUCUUCCGCAAUGGACGAAAGUCUGACGGAGCAACGCCGCGUGAACGAUGAAGGCCUUCGGGUCGUAAAGUUCUGUUGUUAGGGAAGAACAAGUACCGUUCAAAUAGGGCGGUACCUUGACGGUACCUAACGAGAAAGCCACGGCUAACUACGUGCCAGCAGCCGCGGUAAUACGUAGGUGGCAAGCGUUGUCCGGAAUUAUUGGGCGUAAAGCGCGCGCAGGCGGUCUCUUAAGUCUGAUGUGAAAGCCCACGGCUCAACCGUGGAGGGUCAUUGGAAACUGGGAGACUUGAGUGCAGAAGAGGAGAGUGGAAUUCCAUGUGUAGCGGUGAAAUGCGUAGAUAUAUGGAGGAACACCAGUGGCGAAGGCGACUCUCUGGUC
RNAcentral lists this ribosomal RNA (724 nucleotides) under Anaerobacillus sp. RNAcentral's name for it is "bacterial SSU rRNA". It matches the Rfam family "Bacterial small subunit ribosomal RNA", at positions 28 to 734 of the family's 1533-position model. The record is from RNAcentral. Lineage: Bacteria; Bacillati; Bacillota; Bacilli; Caryophanales; Bacillaceae.